RNAcentral lists this ribosomal RNA (450 nucleotides) under uncultured bacterium. RNAcentral describes it as "bacterial SSU rRNA". It matches the Rfam family "Bacterial small subunit ribosomal RNA", at positions 355 to 796 of the family's 1533-position model. The record is from RNAcentral.
UGGGGAAUCUUGCACAAUGGGCGAAAGCCUGAUGCAGCAACGCCGCGUGAGUGAUGAAGGUCUUUGGAUUGUAAAGCUCUUUCGAUCAGGAAGAAGGGUCAGCAUGUUAAUACCACAUUGAUUUGACGGUACUGAUAUAAGAAGCACUGGCUAAUUCCGUGCCAGCAGCCGCGGUAAUACGGAAGGUGCAAGCGUUGUUCGGAGUGACUGGGCGUAAAGGGCGCGUAGGCUGGAAGAUAAGACGAUUGUGAAAACCCCGGGCUCAACCUGGGACAUGCAGUCGUGACUGUUUUUCUUGAAUGUCUAAGAGGUUAGUGGAAUUCCAGGUGUAGGAGUGAAAUCCGUAGAUAUCUGGAGGAACAUCGGAGGCGAAGGCGGCUAACUGGUGGAGCAUUGACGCUGAGGCGCGAAAGUGCGGGGAGCAAACAGGAUUAGAUACCCCUGUAGUCC